UUUGCCCUUUUUCUCCCCCUUGCGAGAGGAUUUCGGGUCGGAGGACGGUGGGAGGAAGGACCUCGAUGUCGGUUCUCGGUGCCUAGCGUGGUUUUCGGAUUUGGGGAGGAGGGAAAUACGGGGGAAUUUGCGUUUGAAAAAGAAACCUCGUGGAUGAACAAACUACCACAGAAAGAUUGCUGUAUGAAUGAAAAGCUUUCCUAACCCCCUACCAAUUGUACAUCCCGAGCUGGUGUUUACUUAAAUAUUUUGAGGGACUUGCAGAAAUCUAAUGUAUUAUAUUUGUAUAUGCAUAUUAAAAGACUGUCCUCUUGAAUAUAGCAUGCAUUGAUCUCCUUGUCUUACACCUUGUGACUAAAGCAAUUCUCCUAAUAUUUGACUUCCUGGAAAGAGAACAUGUGAUUUUUUUAAGUGGCAGGUAUUUUAUUGUAAAUACUGUAACUUUAUUGCAUGAUUCCCAUUUAUCCAUAUUUUCACCAGAACUGCUUCUUAGGUUAUAUAUAACUAAAUGCUAGUAACCCAACCCUUUUCUUUGUUACAUAUUUGUGGCAAAUCUGUGUUUUGAUUUAGUUGCUAGCGGAGUCAAGCUAGUGAUUAUGUGUACAGCACAGAAAUUAAAGUUCUUUGACAACAGCUGGGUCUUUUUCCAUUGAAUUGUACCCAAAUGUUAAGUCAGAACAUAGAA
Molecule: long non-coding RNA, 685 nt
Organism: Penaeus monodon (black tiger shrimp)
Lineage: Eukaryota; Metazoa; Arthropoda; Malacostraca; Decapoda; Penaeidae
Exons: 2
Source: RefSeq, a predicted model, not a curated record